This 74-nucleotide transfer RNA is filed under the name Candidatus Dietzia intestinipullorum. Its description in RNAcentral is "tRNA-Pro". It matches the Rfam family "tRNA". Rfam says of the family: Transfer RNA (tRNA) molecules are approximately 80 nucleotides in length. Lineage: Bacteria; Bacillati; Actinomycetota; Actinomycetes; Mycobacteriales; Dietziaceae. The record is from RNAcentral.
CGGGCUGUGGCGCAGCUUGGUAGCGCACCUCACUGGGGGUGAGGGGGUCGUGGGUUCGAAUCCCGCCAGCCCGA